UCUCUGUUUUUUCCUGAAGUGUGUUCGGCUAUUAAUGCAUAGGUCGUCAUUUCAAAGUGUCUGUUUGUACGGCAAACAUGUUUUGCAAUGGCGCAGCUAGCAGAUAUCGGUGGAACACCUGUAGGACACCCACCUCGCCCCGUGUGAUUUUUGGGCAUUUCCAACGUAUAAACAUAAGCUUUGAUAAGCCGGCCAAGCAGCUUCUCAUCCGGUGUACUGAGGUCAUCCUCAUCUCCCAUGUUUACUCCUGCCUCUCGCAGCAUUGCCACUGCUGUUGCAAACUCCAGCUUAAGUGGAGGGUCCAGGAAUUUGAAGGGUUCAACUGCAAACUGCUGUCCAACGCCAGCAAUCUCAUCAGCGUAUCUGCAGCAAUAUAAAGUUACGUUACCACAGUAUCUUUGAUUCAAGGGACAGAUCAUACAUAUCAAGUAAUGCUGGGAGUAUUACAUUGUAACAUAGGGUUAAUGAAUACAAGUCUCAUAAAAAUCCAUAGAACCACUAAACAGAAUGGAAUGAGCUGGGAUAGCUCAGUAAGUAUAGUGACUAGCUAUGGGCUGGGUGACAGGUUCAAUCCUCUAUACUCUGUAUCAGGACCAGCUCUGGGGCCCACCCAGCCUCCUAUCCAGUGGGUACUGGGGUCCCUUUCCGGUGGUAAAGCAUGGCCAGGGCGUGAUGCUGACCACUCGCCCCCAUCUAGUGCAGAGGUCAAGAAUGAGUAGGAGCUAUACCACCUUUUUGCCCAAGCAACCUACAUGGUGUGUAGUGGGACUGCUUUACUUUUCUUUUCACAUAAGAAUGAAAUGUGUGAAAUAGAAUGAAAAAUGAGAUGCAUAUAUUACAAACAUGAUAUAAAUUACAUACUGAAAUAUGGAACAUAUAAGUUACAAAAGUGAGGUUUAGCUGACAAGAUGUGUACUGUGAAGUGUGUACAAACACUCUUAGUAAUCAGUUGAUUUCUAUAACAGGUGCUUUGACUGGCUAUAUAUAAUGUGUACUCAUUACAGCAAGAAAUACUUUGAAAUUAUAAGCUCUCACAUAACUCAAUCUAUGUUACUUCUCUACUUUCCUUCUUCAUUUUCUGUCUGCAUUAAUCUGUACUUUGUCAUAACUGUAAUUCUUAUUGACAGAUGUCUGGAGCUGAGAUAUUUCCAGCAGUAUAUUCACCUGUCACGAAGUCCUUUGAACAUCUGUGUGAAGGUGUCGCCAAUGGUGUCAAGGACCUCGUGGUAGUGGUACUUGAAUGCCAUCUCCAGGUCCAGGCCCACAAACUCAGUAAGAUGACGGUACAUACUUACUACUCACAGUUCAAGAAGAAGAAAAAAGGAAUAUAAUUCUGAUGGACUGGAACAGAGGGAACCAUAGCAUGGGUGACAAGCACGUCUACUUGCUGGGAGGUGACAAUGGCAAGUGACAAGUGUUAGCAGGCAAUGAAAAAUACCUUUUCUGUAAGGAUAUCUCUGAACAGCUUGCAUACACCAGCCUCAAGGCGGAAGAUAGCCUGGUUGGCUGGGGUCCUUAGAUCAAGCACUCGGUUGUCCAGUCGCGUGUCCUGGUUCACUCGGAUGUUCAGACCUUCUGGAUCCUGCAGCAACGCAAUAGAAGUUACGGUACAUCCAUAUGUAAUGUAAACAUAGGAAAGUUUUACACCCAGAAUCACUGCAGAAACUGUAAAGAGAAUGAAGAGUUAAAUUACAGCAGUUUCCAUGUACAACUAUGACUGAUUUGCUACCUAACAAUAAAAAACUCAAGAUCACUGGUUUUAA
This is a non-coding RNA of Zootermopsis nevadensis, 1763 nucleotides long. Lineage: Eukaryota; Metazoa; Arthropoda; Insecta; Blattodea; Termopsidae. The record is from RefSeq and is a predicted model, not a curated record.